AGUAGCUCAGCUGGUUAGAGCGCACCCCACUCUUUAUCGAUAAAAAGGGGUGAGGUCGGUGGUUCAAGUCCACUCU
RNAcentral lists this transfer RNA (76 nucleotides) under Motiliproteus sp. MSK22-1. It matches the Rfam family "tRNA", at positions 6 to 65 of the family's 71-position model. From Rfam's summary of the family: Transfer RNA (tRNA) molecules are approximately 80 nucleotides in length. Their secondary structure includes four short double-helical elements and three loops (D, anti-codon, and T loops). Lineage: Bacteria; Pseudomonadati; Pseudomonadota; Gammaproteobacteria; Oceanospirillales; Oceanospirillaceae. The record is from Rfam by way of RNAcentral.